GACGAACGCUGGCGGCGUGCUUAACACAUGCAAGUCGAACGGAAAGGCCCUGCUUUUGUGGGGUGCUCGAGUGGCGAACGGGUGAGUAACACGUGAGUAACCUGCCCUUGACUUUGGGAUAACUUCAGGAAACUGGGGCUAAUACCGGAUAGGAGCUCCUGCUGCAUGGUGGGGGUUGGAAAGUUUCGGCGGUUGGGGAUGGACUCGCGGCUUAUCAGCUUGUUGGUGGGGUAGUGGCUUACCAAGGCUUUGACGGGUAGCCGGACUGAGAGGGUGACCGGCCACAUUGGGACUGAGAUACGGCCCAGACUCCUACGGGAGGCAGCAGUGGGGAAUAUUGCGCAAUGGGCGGAAGCCUGAUGCAGCAACGCCGCGUGCGGGAUGACGGCCUUCGGGUUGUAAACCGCUUUCGCCUGUGACGAAGCGUGAGUGACGGUAAUGGGUAAAGAAGCACCGGCUAACUACGUG
Molecule: ribosomal RNA, 468 nt
Filed under: uncultured bacterium
Lineage: Bacteria
Description: partial 16S ribosomal RNA
Rfam family: Bacterial small subunit ribosomal RNA
Source: RNAcentral